This 430-nucleotide ribosomal RNA is filed under the name uncultured bacterium. RNAcentral describes it as "bacterial SSU rRNA". It matches the Rfam family "Bacterial small subunit ribosomal RNA", at positions 355 to 776 of the family's 1533-position model. The record is from RNAcentral.
UGGGGAAUCUUGCGCAAUGGUCGAAAGACUGACGCAGCGACGCCGCGUGGGCGACGAAGGCCUUCGGGUUGUAAAGCCCUGUGGGGCGGGACGAACCGUGCGUGGGCGAACACCCCGCGCACCUGACGGUACCGCCUUAGCAAGCACCGGCUAACUCUGUGCCAGCAGCCGCGGUAAGACAGAGGGUGCGAACGUUGCUCGGAAUGACUGGGCGUAAAGCGCGUGUAGGCGGUCUCGCCAGUCCGGUGUGAAAGCCCAGGGCUCAACCCUGGAACUGCGCUGGAUACUACGAGGCUUGAGUACUGGAGAGGAGAGCGGAAUUCUCGGUGUAGAGGUGAAAUUCGUAGAUAUCGGGAGGAACACCAGUGGCGAAGGCGGCUCUCUGGACAGUAACUGACGCUGAGACGCGAAAGCGUGGGUAGCAAACAGG